UUUUUCGGUUGGGGAUGGGCUCGCGGCNUAUCAGUUUGUUGGUGAGGUAAUGGCUCACCAAGACGACGACGGGUAGCCGGCCUGAGAGGGCGACCGGCCACACUGGGACUGAGACACGGCCCAGACUCCUACGGGAGGCAGCAGUGGGGAAUAUUGCACAAUGGGGGAAACCCUGAUGCAGCGACGCAGCGUGCGGGAUGACGGCCUUCGGGUUGUAAACCGCUUUCAGCAGGGAAGAAGCCUUUAUCGGUGACGGUACCUGCAGAAGAAGUACCGGCUAACUACGUGCCAGCAGCCGCGGUAAUACGUAGGGUACAAGCGUUGUCCGGAAUUAUUGGGCGUAAAGAGCUCGUAGGUGGUUGGUCACGUCUGCUGUGGAAACGCAACGCUUAACGUUGCGCGUGCAGUGGGUACGGGCUGACUAGAGUGCAGUAGGGGAGUCUGGAAUUCCUGGUGUAGCGGUGAAAUGCGCAGAUAUCAGGAGGAACACCGGUGGCGAAGGCGGGACUCUGGGCUGUAACUGACACUGAGGAGCGAAAGCAUGGGGAGCGAACAGGAUUAGAUACCCUGGUAGUCCAUGCCGUAAACGUUGGGCACUAGGUGUGGGGGACAUUCCACGUUCUCCGCGCCGUAGCUAACGCAUUAAGUGCCCCGCCUGGGGAGUACGGUCGCAAGGCUAAAACUCAAAGGAAUUGACGGGGGCCCGCACAAGCGGCGGAGCAUGCGGAUUAAUUCGAUGCAACGCGAAGAACCUUACCAAGGCUUGACAUACACCAGACCGUUCUGGAAACAGUUCCUCCCCUUUGGGGUUGGUGUACAGGUGGUGCAUGGUUGUCGUCAGCUCGUGUCGUGAGAUGUUGGGUUAAGUCCCGCAACGAGCGCAACCCUCGUUCUAUGUUGCCAGCACGUGAUGGUGGGAACUCAUAGGAGACUGCCGGGGUCAACUCGGAGGAAGGUGGGGAUGACGUCAAAUCAUCAUGCCCUUUAUGUCUUGGGCUUCACGCAUGCUACAAUGGCUGGUACAGAGAGAUGCGAGACCGCGAGGUUUUAGCGAAUCCCUUAAAGCCAGUCUCAGUUCGGAUCGUAGUCUGCAAUUCGACUACGUGAAGUCGGAGUCGCUAGUAAUCGCAGAUCAGC
Molecule: ribosomal RNA, 1137 nt
Filed under: uncultured bacterium
Lineage: Bacteria
Description: bacterial SSU rRNA
Rfam family: Bacterial small subunit ribosomal RNA
Source: RNAcentral